GCUCCUUUGGCUAAGUGGUAUAGCGCCGUAAGUCCUUGAACCGUCCAGAAUCGCCUAGACAUGUCGUUAACAGUAUAUCGCAGUCACUAGUAUCAAAUCUGCUAUGAGGAGAUCACUGGUUCGAUUCCAGUAAGGAGCA
Molecule: transfer RNA, 139 nt
Filed under: Cyphellophora attinorum
Lineage: Eukaryota; Fungi; Ascomycota; Eurotiomycetes; Chaetothyriales; Cyphellophoraceae
Description: Phialophora attae tRNA
Rfam family: tRNA
About the family: Transfer RNA (tRNA) molecules are approximately 80 nucleotides in length. Their secondary structure includes four short double-helical elements and three loops (D, anti-codon, and T loops).
Source: Rfam by way of RNAcentral